UUGCCUUCGAGGUGCAGGAGAAGAAAAAAAUUCUUUUUCUCUCUACUUGUCUCAGAUUCGUUGGCUGGGGCCCUGUGAAUAGACCAAGAAAAACCGGAUUAACAAGAGAAAAACAAACAGAAGUUUGUUGACAUGUACAUCAAGCACACACAUGGGACCACCCAGUGCUGAGUACCUCAAAGCGGGGUUAGAAUGCGGGCUUACAUAGCAUCUCGGCAAAAGACGAAUACAUUGCUUGAGAAGUGACCUGACAAAGGAAAAGGACUUUUGUUUCUAGGCUGGCAAGUUGUGGGAAGGUAACUACGUGGGGAAACUAAUGGAAGAUGAGGACUAGUUCGUCAGGAAAAAAUUAUCCCCAGGUGGCUUGGAUGACCCACCGGGUUUUGGAACCACCACCGUCAUCCAUGACACCAGCCCAGUCAAGUGCAAUGUCAGCCUUGAGUUUGUGAAGACCCCAGGUUACCCAGAAGUUAUUUGUGAGUGGUGCUGUCUGGAACACAUGGCCUUCGAGGCAGGAAAGAGAGAUGGUGGAAGCAUCUGGCUCUUAAAUGCCUCAGUCCAGAAGGGACACAUGGAAGUUCUGUUCACUUCAUUGGCCAGAACUCAUCACACGGCUUCAAUCCAACUGCAAGGGAGUCUGGGCAACACGGGAGCACACGGAUAUUUGGGGUCUCCCUCACCAUUCCAGAAAAGCUGAUGGGGAGAUCCCAGGACUCCCACUCCGCCAUCCGGCAGCCCGUGAAGAUGGGUGUAGAGGAAGGAAGAGGCAAAGUCUGCAAGGCCCAAGACGGCUGCUGCCUUGGCAGCUCAAAGACCCAGAACCACCUUUCCCAUCCCCAUCAAAGACACCUGAGGACAGAGGACAGAGGACAAGUGAGCCAGCUGAGCACAGAGAGGCGCCUGGGUGGAGGCAUGCAAACCCAUGCAGCUUCUGCCGUGCUCUCUAGAACCCUUGUGCUUGGAGCCCUGAGCCACCAUGUAAGAAAUCCCACUAGCUGUGACUGCUGGAGAGCCCACGUGUACGGGCCCUGGUUGAUGGUCUCAGCUGACCUGUCCUUCACCUGUCCCAGCCCAGGCUCCAGAGCUGAGAGUGAAGAAGCCAACUUGGAAGUGGAUCCUCUGUCCCCAGCUGUUCGAGUCACCCCAGAUGAAGCCUCGACAUCAGGCAGCAGGGAAGAUCCAUCCUGGCUGCGUCUUUUCCAAAUGCCUGACCCACAGAAUCCAUAGGCGUAAUGGUGGUUGUCACACACCUCUAAGUUUUGGGGUGGUAUAUUACGCAGCAGUAGAAAACCAGAACAAUUGGCAUGUGCAUCUGUCUCCUCCCACUAGAUAGUGGACUCUUUAAUGCUGAGAUGGAGCCAAUUUCAUCUUUCUCUGUCUAGUUCCCAGCACAAGGCCUGGCCCAGAAUAAGUGCUUGUAAAUGUUUGUUGAGUAAACUAAUGAAAUUAUAUAUGGUCCAAAUUGCCCUGAGUUGGGGUUCUGCUGAAAACCUGUCUCACUAAUAUGGCAGCCAUGCGCCAAACUGGGCUACAAGAAUUAGAGAUGCACAUCCCUGCCCAGAAUUUUCAUUUCUAGGGAUUUAUCCUUUAGGUCCCCAUGUGCGUGCCGAAUGGAGUAUACACAGCGUUUUUCAUUGCAGUGUUGUUUGUAAGAACAAACAAAUGUCUAAAUGUCUUCCAUAGGGGAGUGGCCAAAUGAAUUGUGGGAGAUAUGCAGCAAUAAGAAGAAUGUAAGGGUCCUGCAUGAUUUCCAAGAUAUAUUUAUUGUCUAAGUGAAAAAGACAAGAGAGAACGGUGGGAAUGCUCUCUGUGCUGCUGCGGUACAGGAUUCCGGUGGGCAUCCAUAUGCGGUUCCCCUCUUCUUCUGGGGAACCUGGGAGGAUUUACGCUUCCGCAUCUCUUUCUCAGUUAGAGUUGCAGGAGCACGCGGCCAGCGGGCUGGGAGUGGGUGUGUUGUGAGCCACUGGCUUGAUGGCGCAGGAGUUGCCAGUGCUCUCUUCCCCGCCAUGCCCACCAGAGGGGUCUUGUGUUGCAGACGAUGUGGCUGCAGGACGGCGGGGCCUCUGCCCGCCUGGAUCACUGGGUCACCGCAUGGAGGGCAGUCGCCCUAGAGAGCCCUGAACUCACAGCAAGCUUUGUGUGAGCAAAUACAUGAGUUAAGCGUUUGGGAUCUUCUUGUCUCUGCAGCGUGGCGUAUCCUGUCCUGACUUAUACAGUUGCUGCUUGUGGAGAGGGCAUGGGUGUGGGGUAGGGAAUAUGUCUAUGUAUUUGCUUGUGUGUCCCUCAGAUAUCUUUGGGAAGAUUCCUAACAAUUAUUAACACUAGUUACCUCCAGAAAGGGGAACUGUGUGGCGGGGGAAUGGAGUUGAGAGGGAUAAUGUUCACUAUAGAUAUUGAAUACUUUUUGAAUUUGGAAGUAUGUAUUACCUCUUCUAAAGGAAAUCUUAAUAUUUGUGCCACACAGUUUGACCUGGAACAGAAUUUCCCAAACUUCAAUCAUUCACACUCCAUGUUCAACAGUUUGUGCCAUUUUCAUGUACCACCUGUCCUCUUUUUAUCUUAAUAGUCUUCUUUAAAUAGCUUCAAUUUGAAAAAAAUAGACUCAUUGAAAAGGAAACUUUACUUUGCCGUCCUGAAAGGAAAAUUGGUAUCCUUUGCCAUAUAACAUUGAUAGUCAUGAAAAUGAAUACGAUGGGAAAAACGUAACUUUGAAAACUUAGGAUAACUUUUCUUCUCUUACAGCCUUUGAAUCUGAGGCCAGCCCCUUAUUUAUUGAGAAAGGGGAUUAGCAGGGCCAGAGAGGUGUUAAAGACACAAGACCAAACUGAGACUUUCUCAUAAUUACAAGGCUUUUGAGAUAGUUGAAGAAGGAGCUAUUUUUUCAUUAUGAAAUUCAGUGUUACUUAAUUUUCUGUCCAUUCGCACCAAAAAUUACCUUGUGUAGCAUCUAAAAUGAUCUCGUGUCCCUUUGUGGGUCUGUCUAUGACAGGGACGAUCAGGGCUCUCCGAUAUCCGUGUACUUCUCGAAAUUUCUCAGUGGUCUGUGCAGAUGCUUGGGAUCAUGUGACCAGUUGUGGCCAAUGGCCUCUGAGUGGUAGUGUCGUCAGUCAGUUUUGGGCUGUGGCA
This is a long non-coding RNA of Equus caballus (horse), 3126 nucleotides long. RefSeq lists it as uncharacterized. The record is from RefSeq and is a predicted model, not a curated record. NCBI's taxonomy places the organism in Eukaryota, Metazoa, Chordata, Mammalia, Perissodactyla, Equidae.